RNAcentral lists this ribosomal RNA (433 nucleotides) under uncultured bacterium. RNAcentral's name for it is "bacterial SSU rRNA". It matches the Rfam family "Bacterial small subunit ribosomal RNA", at positions 355 to 786 of the family's 1533-position model. The record is from RNAcentral.
UGAGGAAUAUUGGUCAAUGGGCGAGAGCCUGAACCAGCCAAGUCGCGUGAGGGAAGACGGUCCUAUGGAUUGUAAACCUCUUUUGCCGGGGAGCAAAGAGCGGCACGUGUGCCGCGCCGAGAGUACCCGGAGAAAAAGCAUCGGCUAACUCCGUGCCAGCAGCCGCGGUAAUACGGAGGAUGCGAGCGUUAUCCGGAUUUAUUGGGUUUAAAGGGUGCGCAGGCGGCGCGUUAAGUCAGCGGUAAAAUUUCGGGGGCUCAACCCGACGAGCCGUUGAAACUGGCGUGCUAGAGUGGGCGAGAAGUAUGCGGAAUGCGUGGUGUAGCGGUGAAAUGCGUAGAUAUUAGGAGGAACACCAGUGGCGAAGGCGGCUUACUGGACGGUAACUGACGUUGAGGCUCGAAAGCGUGGGGAGCAAACAGGAUUAGAUACC